UCCUGCUGGUGGCCUUUGGGUUCAGCUGCUUCUACCCCAGCAGCACCUCCCGCUCGUGCCCACCCUCCUGGGCCACCCUGGUGUGGGAUGUGCCCCAGCUGGAGAGGGGCACUGCCCCCAAGGGCACCACCGUGGCAGAGGUGCUUUGCUGGAGCAUCCCAGCCCUGUGCCUGCUGCUCCUGCUGCUUUUCCUCAGCAGGACCUACUGGAGGAAGAGAUGUGGCAGGAAGUCUGGAUGCUCCUGCAAGACCUCCAAGCUGCUCUCCAAGCUGAAGGAAGAUCCUGACUUGCUGAAGCUCUACCUGAAGCACCUGCAGAGGUGCAGGACAUCCUUUGUGGAAGUGUUCCAGAAAAACCAGCAGGAAUAUACAGGAGGGCUUCGAGGAGGAGAAGACACACUUGGCUGCUUGCCAGUGAAUUCCCAGCUGUAGCAAGGAUCCCAGGAAAGCUGGGCAGUGGAUGGAGCUGUCCCAAGGCACGGGGACAGCACAGCUUUGCAAUAAAGGUUUCAGGUGAAAUUGUCUCCAAGGUAAAUGGAACAUG
This is a long non-coding RNA of Melospiza melodia melodia, 543 nucleotides long. RefSeq lists it as uncharacterized. The record is from RefSeq and is a predicted model, not a curated record. NCBI's taxonomy places the organism in Eukaryota, Metazoa, Chordata, Aves, Passeriformes, Passerellidae. The transcript is spliced from 3 exons.